AACGCACCUUGCGCUCCCUGGUAUUCCGGGGAGCACGCCUGUUCGAGUGUCAUGAAAUUUCUCAAGCUUUGGAUGGCUUUUUUGUCUGUCCCCCUUAGCCUUGGUUAUUGGGUUUUGCCGUGCCCUACUUUGGGACGGCUGGCCUUAAAAGCAUUAGCUGAUCCUCAUGUGACAACUGGUUCUACUCAGCGUGAUAAUUUCUCAUCGCUUGAUGUUAUCUUUCGGGAUAGCCAGUCAUCAUUUGGAUUGCUUUCUAAUACUUGCAAGGUUUUGUGGAUUCUUGAAUCCAUAUUUCCGAAUUUUUCAACUUUGACCUCGAAUCAGGUGGGACUACCCGCUGAACUUAA
RNAcentral lists this unclassified non-coding RNA (347 nucleotides) under uncultured Cantharellales. Its description in RNAcentral is "sequence contains 5.8S rRNA gene, ITS2, 28S rRNA gene". The record is from RNAcentral. Lineage: Eukaryota; Fungi; Basidiomycota; Agaricomycetes; Cantharellales.